Molecule: ribosomal RNA, 405 nt
Filed under: bacterium
Lineage: Bacteria
Description: partial 16S ribosomal RNA
Rfam family: Bacterial small subunit ribosomal RNA
Source: RNAcentral
UAGGGAAUAUUGCACAAUGGGCGAAAGCCUGAUGCAGCAACGCCGCGUGUGCGAUGAAGGCCUUCGGGUCGUAAAGCACUUUUCUGGGAGUUGAGAAAGGACAGUAUCCCAGGAAUAAGUCUCGGCUAACUACGUGCCAGCAGCCGCGGUAAAACGUAGGAGGCGAGCGUUAUCCGGAUUCACUGGGUGUAAAGCGCGUGCAGGCGGUUCGGUAAGUUGGGCGUGAAAUCUCCUGGCUCAACUAGGAGAGGUCGUCCAAUACUACCGGGCUUGAGAGCGGUAGAGGAAGAUGGAAUUCCCGGUGUAGUGGUGAAAUGCGUAGAUAUCGGGAGGAACACCAGUGGCGAAGGCGAUCUUCUGGACCGUUUCUGACGCUCAGACGCGACAGCUAGGGUAGCAAACGGG